This is a long non-coding RNA of Hydractinia symbiolongicarpus, 825 nucleotides long. RefSeq lists it as uncharacterized. The record is from RefSeq and is a predicted model, not a curated record. The transcript has 2 exons. Lineage: Eukaryota; Metazoa; Cnidaria; Hydrozoa; Anthoathecata; Hydractiniidae.
AGCCUUAGCCAAAUGUGAAAAUAACGAAAAUAAUAAGUUCUAACACUGCAGUUUUUAUAGAUUUCAAACGUCCAUCAUUUUCCAUUUUAAUUUUAAAUCCCGUUCUAAAUUUGAAUGUUUGAAAUCGUUAUUAGUAAUUCGGGGCGCAUUAGUGGUAACUAUGGCUAGUUUUAUGUAUGGGAGAAGUUUUUUUCUUACUCUCAACUUCGCGGGGGAACUUCGGCUCGAACAUCCAACCUAGGUUUGAUAUAACACAACCUGUGUGUUUGGUACCAUCAAGACAAAAAUAACACUGAUCGAGCAAAACUUAUCUUGUCUCGGUUUCUUUGUUGUCUCUGAAGAUUUGACUGCCAUAAAAAAUAUUAAUCGAGAUUCUUUUGUUAUGUUAAUUUAAAGCUUUGUAAUAUUGUCUCGUUUAAUAUGCUUAAAUGUCACUGCAGCCCACGUGAAUUUAUCUUCAAGAAAAGGUUUGUUUUUCUUUGUCCAAGUUGUUUCGAAACUUGUUAACAAUCAUUUGUUAUGAAACCAUGCACCAUCAGCAGUUUCGAAAAAUCUUCAACGAGAGAAAUUUUUAAGGAUUUUAUUGGUAACUUAACAGAGUAAUAAUUCAUUGAAAUUGAAAUUGUUCAGAAGUUAUUAUAUAUAUUCGAAUCGUGAAGUUCAUACAUAGCAAUCCUGCAUCCUGGAAUUUUCGAGAUCAGUUAUAAAAAAAUCCAGUUAAAGUUUUAACUAUUGUUUUAGAAUAUAUACUAUAUAUAUGUAAAAAAAAAUUAUUUUUUAUUUAUCAAGUUGUAUUUUACGCAAUAAUAAUUGAGAAUUAGGAUA